AUCACAAGAACACAGCUGGGAAACACCUCCAAACCAGCAACAAUCCCUUCAAAAUCUGGACAUUACAAUUCACUCAAAAUCCAUUAAAAUUCAUCAAUUUCAGCACCUAAGCUUAGGAUUUAUCCAAUUCCAAUAUCAAAACUCACCUAACAAUCUCCAAAUCAGGUGAAGACGGUCCCAAUUCUAGUACUGGUUGAUAGGGGAUGUGACUCAACUCCACAAAGCCCCUGCUUCCAAAGUUCACCCCAAGAAAACUCAAAAACUUGCAAUUCUGUCCAUAGCAACAGUAGCAGAGGAAAACCUGAGUUCGACUAAGCUAACCUUCACCAAAUUCUGCAAAUCAAGGCUUCAUGGAUUCCUCUAAAAGUCUAGAAUCUAGCAAACCAAGUUUCGUCGAAAUCUGAUAUCCCUACGUCGCGCACGAGCCAAAAUACUGAAGGUCGUCACUGAAAAAUUACAGAAUCAGCACCUUGCAAUUCUUGGAGAUGUGAAAUCUUGAUGCAAAUUGAAAAGAUUGGAGGAAGUAAGGAGCAAAAUCUAAGUUCUCUAUGAAGAACAGGUAAAAAGAGCUCAAAGGGGACGUAUACCAGAUAUUUAUAGAGUGCUGGAGUAACAAAAUAAGCCCCAAGAGAAACAGCUGAAAUCUGGUGUCCCUGCAAAAACGGGUGUUUUUGGGCGCCCGAAACCAUGUUCUGGGCGACCGAAACAUCCGGGCUGCACAAAUCAUGCUCCUCGGACUCUCUGCUCGCGGUGUGCUGCGCCCGUAAACGGCUCCGGUGGAACUCACCUACCACCCUGCCACGCGUCGAAGCAAACGAUAUAAACGAUGUAGAAUUUCCGGACCACUUCUCGGCGCCUGGAACAUAGGAUCCGAAUUGGCUUCCAGUUUCAGUUGAAUUCAACACUCGGUUCUGGGCGACCUAAACCAUGUUCUGGGCGCCCGAAUCUGGCAAAACUCUAGUUUUGCUUAUUUGAGUGCGCCGAGUCCAAUUCUGCAUCCAAUUCGUGCAAAAUUGACUCCGACUCAAUCCGACACUCUUCAGAGAUGUCGACCAGUCACUAAUACUGAAGCCAAUCCUAUCCAAAGCUCAGGAACACUAUAUCCUCCCCCACUACAAAAAGUUUCGUCCACGAAACUAAAAACAUACCUCAAUCCAGAGCCUCAAAUAGGUAGGGGUAGGACUCCUUCAUCACCGUCUCCGGCUCCCAAGUUGCCUCCCGCUCCUCGUGAUUACUCCACUGCAACUUUACAAAGGGUAUGACCUAGUUGUGCAAUUCCCUCGACUCACGAGCCAUAAUCGGCACCGGUCGCUCCUCAUAACUCAGGUCCUCGCCAAUCUCAAGCGGAGUGAAGUCAAUCACGUGGGAGGGGUCGAACACAUAUUUUCUCAAAGCCGAGACGUGGAAGACAUCGUGAAUGCUGGCUAGUCGUGGUGGUAGAGCAAUCCUAUAAGCAACUGGCCCGACUCGCUCUAACACCUCAAAAGGGCCAACGAAACGUGGACUGAGCUUUCCACGUACUCCAAAUCCGCGAAUCCCUCUGGACGGCGAGACUUUAAGAAAAACAUGAUCUCCUACCUGGAACUCCAAGUCUCGUCUCCGGGUAUCAGCAUAGCUCCUCUGUCAACUCUGGGCUGCUAACAUGUACCGUAGCGCCUCCUUUACCUUUUUAUCAGCCUCAAUCAGAAUCUCAGACCCAAGCGUCCUCCUCUCACCCACAUCACUCCAAAAUAAAGGGGAUCGACAUCUGCGUCCAUACAACGCCUCAAAUGGAGCCAUUUGGAUGCUCGCUUGAUAGCUGUUGUUGUACGUAAACUCAACCAGUCUCAAAUGCCGAUACCACCCUCCUCCAAAGUCCAGGACACAUGCCCUCAGCAUGUCCUCUAGAGUCUGAAUGGUCCGCUCUGACUGACCAUCUGUUUGUGGGUGAAACACUGUACUGAAUUGCAACUGAGUGUGCAAGGCCGUCUGAAGACUCCUCCAAAAGUGUGAUACGAACCUCGGGUCCCGGUCGGAUACUAUCGAAGUAGGCACGCCAUGCAACCUCACUAUCUCAUCCAAGUACAACUGAGCGAGUCUCUCUCUGGACCAAGUGGUCUGCACUGGUAGGAAGUGAGCAGACUUGGUUAGUCUGUCCACUAUCACCCAAAUCGCAUCAAAACCACCAUGUGCUCUCGGCAAUCCGACGACAAAGUCCAUCGUGAUCUGCUCCCAUUUCCACUUGGGCACUGGCAGACUCUGAAGCUUGCCAGUAUGUACCUGAUGCUCGGCCUUUACCUAUUGACAAGUCAGGCACUGGGCCACAAAUCUGCCAAUGUUCCUCUUCAUUCCAUUCCACCAAAACUGAGCCUUUAAAUCCUUAUACAUCUUGGUUCCACCGGGGUGAACCUUAUAAGGUGAACAGUGAGCAUCUCUUAAAAUGUCCUCUUCGAUCUCUGAAUCCAUAGGUACACACAGUCGGUCCCUGUACCGCAGUACUUCCGAAUUGUCCACAACAAAGCCCUCGGCCUGUCUCCUCUCAAGCUGCUCUCGAAUCCUCGACAAGUGCGGGUCUCCACUCUGUUUCUCUCGAAUCCUGUCCAACAGAGUGGGCUGCAAGAUUAUAGACAUCAGUCUCGCAGUAAAUCUAGGGAACACUACCUCGAGCCUCAGCCGCCGCAGCUCCUCGAGUAACGGUCUCUGCCGAGUGAUCAACAUGCUCAAGCUCUGCACUGCCUUCUUGCUCAACGCAUCUGCCACCACAUUCGCCUUGCCGGGAUGAUACUGAAUAUUAAUAUCAUAGUCCUUCAACAACUCCAACCACCGGCGCUGCCUCAGAUUCAAUUCCUUUUGGGUGAACAGAUACUUGAGACUUUUAUGAUCAGUAAAAACCUCGCAGUGCUCGCCGUACAGGUAAUGCCGCCACAACUUCAAAGCAAAGACUAUCGCGGCAAGCUCCAAGUCAUGCGUAAGGUAAUUCUUCUCAUAAUUCUUUAACUGCCGUGAAGCAUAAGUAAUUACCCUACCAUGCUGCAUCAGCACACAACCCAGUCCACUGUGCGAUGCAUCACUGUAGAUCACGAAUCCUUCCUCCAUCACAGGAAGGGCAAGGAUAGGAGCUGACAUCAACCUCUGUCUCAACUCAUCAAAGUUCCUCUGGCAAUCCUCACUCCAGAUGAAUCUAAUCCCCUUUCGCGUCAAACGAGUGAGGGGUGUGGAAAGCUUCGCAAAGCCUUCCACAAACCGACGGUAAUGCCCUACUAGUCCAAGGAAACUCCUCACCUCUGUCACCGUCGUCGGUCUGGGCCAAUCCCGAAUAGCAUCAAUCUUCUUCGGGUCAACCGCUACUCCCUCUGCUGAUAUCACGUGGCCCAAGAAAGCAACCUCCGGCAAUCAGAACUCGCACUUCUUUAACUUGGCUUACAACUUCUUCUCUCGCAGAAGCUGUAGCACAGUCCUCAAGUGCUCCUCAUGCUCGGCAUCGCUCCGGAAGUAUAUCAAGAUAUCAUCAAUGAAGACUACCACAAACCUGUCCAAGAACGGCUUGAACACUCUGUUCAUCAAAUCUAUGAAUGCGGCAGGGGCAUUCGUCAAUCCAAACGGCAUCAUCGUAAACUCAUAAUGCCCGUACCGAGUCCGAAAAACCGUCUUGGGAACAUCCUCGGCCCUCACCCUCAACUGGUGGUAACCUGACUGGAGGUCAAUCUUCGAGAAGACAUAAGAUCCUUGCAGCUGAUCAAACAGAUCAUCAAUGCGCGGCAAAAGAUACUUAUUCUUGAUGGUCACCUUAUUCAGCUCCCGGUAAUCAACACACAACCUGAGCGAACCAUCUUUUUUCUUUACAAACAGCACUAGCGCUCCCCAAGGUGACACACUGGGUCUCACAUACCCCUUAUCCAUCAAAUCCUGAAGCUGCGCCUUUAGCUCUCUCAGCUCUGCUGGUGCCAUCCGAUAAGGUGCCUUCGAGAUUGGUGCAGUUUCAGGAACUACAUCAAUCACAAACUCUAUCUCCCUCUCAGGCUGCAUCGUGAUCAACUAAGGGGGAAACACAUCCGGAAACUCGCGGACUAUAGGAAUAUCCUCGAGUCCCGGCGCCGCCGUAGGCACCUCUGUCACAGUCGCCAGAAAAGCAACGCAUCCUCUACUCAUCAGCUGUCGAGCCCUCGCCGAAGAUAUCCAGGUGGCAAACAAAGUACUCCUGCAGCCUUUGAAGGUGAACUCCUCCUGGCCUGGCUAGGGGAACGUCACAAUCCUCGCUCCACAGUCGAUAGUAGCAUAGUACCGUGCCAGCCAAUCCAUACCGAGCACUACAUCAAAGUCCUGCAGCUGCCCUAACACCAACAGGUCUGCGAGCAUGAUCCAAGAAUCCAACUGCACCGGACAUGACCAACAACGCUCUGUAACCUGUAAGACAUGGUCAGGGAUCUGCACCUCUCGUGUCUGUGACAAUGACCCUAACUCUAGACCAUGCAACAAUGCAAAUGCUCGGCUAACAAAAGAAUGCGUGGCACUAGUAUCAAAAGGAGCGCGAGUACGAAUGCCUGAAAUUAAAAUGAUACCUGCCACCACUCGGUCGGCUGCUACAGAAUCCUCCACCUGAGCUGCGUAAACUCUGCCACUCGGAGCCUGCUGUCGUCGCUCGCCCUGACGCGGCAUAGACGAUCUAUCCUCCUGGUGGAAACUCGGUGCUGCUCCAAAGGAUGGCUGAGAUGCCGGCUGCGCUGAUGCAGUGGAUGGCGCUGAUGAUGCUGCACCGGGACAAGCUGACCUCACAUGCCCGGGCUGACCGCAAGAGUAGCAACAGCCCUCUCUCUGCUCGCACUGCCAGGGCCAGUGUGGUCCCCCACAGAUCACACACUACGGUGUCCUCUGAGUCUGCCCCUAUUGACGAGAUCCCCUGGAACGCUGACGUCCCGAAGACCUACGACCCUGAGAGCGUGAUCGUGGAGGCCUCGGCGGACGCCUGCUGUUCGACUGUCCAGCAUCAUCUGAAAAGGAGCGCUUCCUGUCCUGACUCUGCCCAACGGUCGGAGUCCUCUCCUGUAGCGACACCUCACCUCUCUCCACCCACAAGGCCUACUCUAUGGACGCAUCCAAAGUCCUCAAUCUCUACGUCCGCGCCAACCUGAAGAUGUCGGGUCUCAGCCCCUGCUCAAACAGAUAGACCCUGUGAGCCUCAUCCCUGGCCACAAAUGGCACACAGUUCAGGAGUCGAGUAAACUCUCGAACAUACUCUUGCACUGGACGGUCCCCCUGCUGGAUCCUCUUCAAAUCCUCCUCGAGCUUCUGUUUCACACUGUUCGAAAAGAAUAUCCCAAACAGCAUUCCACAGAACCCAUCCCAUCUCAGCUGCAACGCUACCAGUCCCUGCUCUCUCCUCAUUCUCCUCCACAAGGCGUGGGCAUCACCUGCCAAGCAAUGGACUCCAAAAGACACCUGCUCCCCUUCAGGAAUGAACAGAUCCUCAAAUAGCUUCUCCAUCGCACUGACCCAUCCCUCAACAACCCAUGCCUCAGUGCAACUGCCAUCAAAAAUCGGUGGAUCAAAACGGCGAAAACGAGCCAACCUCUCUGUCCACCACUCCUGCUCGGCCUCUGUCAACUGUACUGGCCCCCCAGCAAGCGCAACUGGUGCUACUGGGACGGCUGCUGGCGGAGGGACUGCUGCAGCUGGUGCUGUCACUGGAGUACUCGGAGGUGGAACAGACGACUCUGGUGCCCUCGGUGCUGAACUCUGGGGGGAAGCUAACCUCUCGUACAUUCUCUCCAACAACUCCCCCUGCCGCCUCGUCACCUCUGUCAGAGCGGCUAACUGUGCACUUAAAUUCGGGGAUGCACUCGCCUCCGGUCGGGCCCUUUGCUCUACAACUGGGGGUGCACUCACCUCAGGUGGUGCACUCGGCUCUGCCUGCUCAGGCAUCUCGGGCGGGGCGGCAUGAUCUCUUAGCGACGGUCUACCUUGGCGACGAUACAUAGCUGUAAAGAACAAAACAGAAGUCAGAUACAACAAAACACUCUCGACCCAAUCAAACGAAAGUCUAGAAGGCGGCCCCUGUUUCUCCUCAAAAUUAUGUCGUCUACAGCCAACAUAAUUUUUCAGGACAAAACAGGAACUCCUCCAAUCACUCACUCCACUCUAGGAGGAGUUAGAACAACAAAUCAUUGACUUUCACGAAAUCAUUGACUUUCACGAUAAAGCACGCCUCUCACGUCUUGCCCUCCUAAGGUUUGCCAAACUUAGGGUUUCUAGGUCCUAACGACCUACAACUAAGCUCUGAUACCAACUUAAACUGUCACGCCCCGGAUUACUCGUUUUUCGGGCGCGCCGACAAAUCCGCCGUAUACAAAAAAAAUUUUCCUGUAUACAAAGCGAUAGCUGUACCUGUAGAUCAUACAAAACUACAAACAGUAGUAUAGAGCUGCUAGAAGAACCAGUAAUAAAAACAAACCGAGUUCCAUAUACAUACGCCAAAACCAAGAUACAAAACUACUCGCACUGGCGAGUUAAUUAUAUAUAUGUACAUGAACUCCAACAAAACAACUACCUGCAGUAGGGGCACCUCUAGCUCCGCUCGUCGGGUAGAGCUCUGACUCGCGGCGCCCUUGCCUCGAUCCUGAUCAGCAACAGCAGCAGCCGAAGACGAUGACUCUGCAAAGAAAAACGGGGUAACAACAGGGCGUGAGAACUACUGUAAAACAAGUAGUCCUCAGUGGAUGCCGCCCUCAACAACAUCGGUCUACCCACUAAGUCUACAGAAGGGAACAAAGAUAGUAAUAAAUGUUGGAAUGAAAUCUACAGCUACUAUUUAUUACACUAUCAUGCUCUAACUGACCUACUAUAGUAAUGUCAAUCCUGACCCAAUCUCUUUAGGGACUGUAAACAUAUCCGUCCCAGGGACUGUGAACACACCCGUCCCGCCCAGUUGAGACUAUCCAGCUACCUCCACACUAUCCAGUUCGUGGAGAGCAAGUCUAACCGGCAUGAACGAUACCAAUGCGAAAGCACAACGCCGGCCUCCAGAGUGGCACUCGUGGGAGCUACCCAACCGAGUAUGCAACGUAUCUCUGUCGAGCUCAAUCAGGCUCCAACUAGCCAAAGUUAUAUAAACAGGGUCAAAACAGGUCUACAAACUAAACCCACGUGCCCUCGGCACAAUCUGGAACCAAAACAAAAAUCUGGGUCCACCGCCAACCCGGACGGCACCCAAUGACCCGAAACAGCCUAGACUCUGCUGAAAAUUAAGCUCAGCACCCCAGCACGAGCGUAAAUGCCUUCUAAACUACCCCAGGUAUCCAUCGCACUGAUACUGCAACGAUACAGUCGAACCACGGUUCCUAGAGCUAAAUCUGGUAGUUCAAGCAUAUGAUGGGUCAAAACGCAGGUUUUUUCCUCAGUCAAAUUCCAAGUCCAACAUGUAUAUUUAUCAUUUAUUUAGCAUGUUUAAAUUUAGAUUACAGCCACUGCGAAUCAAUGAAUUUAAUCUAAUCAUAUUGUAGAUCAAAUAAUAAGCAUACAUGUCGAUUAUACAUCUACUCAUUUACUUAGGAGUAAUCCGAUGAAAACCCACCUCAAAGGCGAUUUCUCUGGCAACAACACGGUCUCGGAUCACAAGAACAUAGCUGGGAAACACCUCCAAACCAGCAACAAUCCCCUCAAAAUCUGGACAUUACAAUUUACUCAAAAUCCAUUAAAAUUCAUCAAUUUCAGCACCUAAGCUUAGGAUUUAUCCCAUUUCAAUAUCGAAACUUACCUAACAAUCUCCAAAUCUGGUGAAGAUGGUCUCAAUUCCAGUACCGGUUGAUAGGGGAUGUGACUCAACUCCACAAAGCCCCUACUUCCAAAGUUCACCCCAAGAAAACUCAAAAACUUGCAAUUCUGUCCAUAACAACAGGAGCAGAGGAAAAUCUGAGUUCGAC
Molecule: long non-coding RNA, 7895 nt
Filed under: Ananas comosus (pineapple)
Lineage: Eukaryota; Viridiplantae; Streptophyta; Magnoliopsida; Poales; Bromeliaceae
Description: long non-coding RNA (ACOM_LNC016852)
Source: RNAcentral